GACUUUUUAAAGUAGCGAUCCUGGUGUGCACAGGAAGGAAGUAAAGAAAAAAGAACGAUGACAAAUGGACACCAGAAGAAAGUGUGAUUGCACCAAUAUUUGAAAAGACUGAUUCACUGACUGGUGGUCUGCUGCACGUGAAUGAUGACAGCAUUUAAAGGGAAGUGGAUCAGGGUGAUGACAGAUUCUGUUAGCUUGUUGAAAAUUCAGGAUAAAAUUCUUUUGCAUGAAAGAUUAGUAGAUUUUCAAAGAAGCCAAAGAAGCCACUGUGAAUUACUUAGAGGAUAAUUUUACAGAAUGAAAAGUAAGGUUCGUGGGCUAAAAAAGAGCUGUCAGAAACCAAAGAAGUGAAAUCACAGUUAGGCCAUCAGAAAGUGGAAUGGGAAUGAGAGCUCAGCAGCUUGAGGUACUGUACACCUUGCUUUUAAAGAAACAUUUGAACUAUUGUUUCCUUUAAUACUGCAGAAAUGUAGAUGUGUUAUAAGGACUAAUUUAUCCUCUAGGAUUUUACAGAGGAGAAAGUGUUACUAGUAUUGUGGAGUGUGAAAUUCUUGGAAAUAAUAUAGUAGGUUCCUAACAGUGAAUGCUUCUAAUAAUGUAUAUUUUUCCAAAUUAUCAUUUUAGUGACCAUACAGAAGUUCAGCAUAAUGGAAAGCCCAUUAAAGAUUUACCAAAUUCACUUUCAGUUGUUUUUCACUUUUCUGUAUUCUAUUUAAUAUUGCAA
Molecule: long non-coding RNA, 724 nt
Filed under: Bos indicus x Bos taurus (hybrid cattle)
Lineage: Eukaryota; Metazoa; Chordata; Mammalia; Artiodactyla; Bovidae
Description: lncRNA (ENSBIXG00005005314.1)
Source: RNAcentral